UGUGUGUGUAUAAAUAUAUACAUACAGAGAGAGAGAGAGAGAGAGGGCGAUUCCUAUACUAUUAAUAACACUAAGUAUUUGGUGCUAUACCAAGUUUUACAUCGGUAAAUAUACUUUUUGAUCAAUUUCAUUCAUUAAAUCAUAAUAUGUAACUAACUACCCACUCAACUCUAAAAACUAAUGUCAUCCUAACCGCACAUUCCUUCAUCCAAGAAUCGAAAAUCUAAUAGCACUAAUAACUUAGUAUUAUAGCCUAGUUAUAUAGAGAGUGUUGGGCAAUAAUUUACGGCCAGGUGGUACGCUGGUGCUCCACUCAACCCCAAUCUUUAAGAAGCUAGGAUUAAAGAAGAUUUUGAUGUGCACCAGGAGCAUCAACAAGAAUAUUGAGUAACCGCCGGGUAUAACUGAGGGAAGUUACAGUAACUGCGAGUGGUUACAAGCGGUUCCGAUCGGCCGAAAGUGGCCCGGAAAAAUAAGAGUAGUGGCCGAUCAAGGAUGGGGAUCAGUAGGGGUGAUCUAUAAAUAGGCAAAUAACGUCCAGAAAAGAGGUAUUUUUUUCGAGAACAGAAGACCACCUUUAUUUCCUCUGUAAUUUCUUCGCAUUUUCUAGGAGUAGACUACUUGUAAUCUUUUACUCUCCCAUAUUUACUGUUUUCUUAGAAGUAGAUUUAGGGUUGAUCAACCGAGUCUGUAUGCCCUCAGGAACACUCGUUUCUUGUACUAGUUCUACGAGUUAAUUCCAAUAUAUAUAAAGGCAUUCGGCUCUUCAACCGACCCAAAGUACAGUGUAUUCUGUACAUUCGGCUCAUCCAGCCGAACCGAAUUUA
Molecule: long non-coding RNA, 827 nt
Filed under: Ananas comosus (pineapple)
Lineage: Eukaryota; Viridiplantae; Streptophyta; Magnoliopsida; Poales; Bromeliaceae
Description: long non-coding RNA (ACOM_LNC043659)
Source: RNAcentral